CCUACGGGCGGCAGCAGUGGGGAAUAUUGGACAAUGGGGGGAACCCUGAUCCAGCCAUGCCGCGUGUGUGAAGAAGGCCCUCGGGUUGUAAAGCACUUUCAGUGAGGAAGAACGCCUGGUGGUUAAUACCCAUCAGGAAAGACAUCACUCACAGAAGAAGCACCGGCUAACUCCGUGCCAGCAGCCGCGGUAAUACGGAGGGUGCGAGCGUUAAUCGGAAUUACUGGGCGUAAAGCGCGCGUAGGUGGCUUGAUAAGCCGGUUGUGAAAGCCCCGGGCUCAACCUGGGAACGGCAUCCGGAACUGUCAAGCUAGAGUGCAGGAGAGGAAGGUAGAAUUCCCGGUGUAGCGGUGAAAUGCGUAGAGAUCGGGAGGAAUUCCAGUGGCGAAGGCGGCCUUCUGGACUGACACUGACACUGAGGUGCGAAAGCGUGGGUAGCAAACAGGAUUAGAUACCCUUGUAGUC
Molecule: ribosomal RNA, 465 nt
Filed under: Vreelandella stevensii
Lineage: Bacteria; Pseudomonadati; Pseudomonadota; Gammaproteobacteria; Oceanospirillales; Halomonadaceae
Description: partial 16S ribosomal RNA
Rfam family: Bacterial small subunit ribosomal RNA
Source: RNAcentral